RNAcentral lists this ribosomal RNA (339 nucleotides) under Triticum aestivum (bread wheat). RNAcentral describes it as "partial small subunit ribosomal RNA". The record is from RNAcentral. Lineage: Eukaryota; Viridiplantae; Streptophyta; Magnoliopsida; Poales; Poaceae.
AUGAACCUGGUGAUGUGCAUUCCCUUAAAAAAGCUGCUGAUGUAUUCUGUAGCCGAACAUCCCCAACCAGGGUUUUCAGGCUGCUGCUUUCUUGAGAGUAAUGGUUUCUGUGUGGUGUCCCGAACUCGAUUAGGGGAUCACAACUCACUAAUUGUCCAUGAAUUUGAGGUACAAGGGAGAUUGGAGUCUGGGGUAGGGAGAGAGAGAGAGAGAGACAGACUUGGAGAAGGGGAAGAACAGAGAGAUACAGUUCAGAAGAUACAGUCUGAUCUGUUCCAAAAACUAGCUUCCCAAACCUGCUACUCCCCUACUAGUACUCCUUCCUGUCGCUCCACUUGA